GGGGCCGUAGCCCAACUGGCAGGAGGCACACGGUUUAGGUCCGUGACAGUGCGAGUUCGAAUCUCGCCGGCCCUACGA
RNAcentral lists this transfer RNA (78 nucleotides) under Frankiales bacterium. RNAcentral's name for it is "tRNA-Leu". It matches the Rfam family "tRNA". From Rfam's summary of the family: Transfer RNA (tRNA) molecules are approximately 80 nucleotides in length. Their secondary structure includes four short double-helical elements and three loops (D, anti-codon, and T loops). Lineage: Bacteria; Bacillati; Actinomycetota; Actinomycetes; Frankiales. The record is from RNAcentral.